UACGUAGGGUGCGAGCGUUAAUCGGAAUUACUGGGCGUAAAGCGUGCGCAGGCGGCUUCGCAAGUCAGACGUGAAAGCCCCGGGCUUAACCUGGGAAUGGCGUUUGAAACUACGGAGCUGGAGUAUGGCAGAGGGGGGUGGAAUUCCACGUGUAGCGGUGAAAUGCGUAGAUAUGUGGAGGAACACCGAUGGCGAAGGCAGCCCCCUGGGCCAAUACUGACGCUCAUGCACGAAAGCGUGGGGAGCAAACAGG
Molecule: ribosomal RNA, 253 nt
Filed under: uncultured bacterium
Lineage: Bacteria
Description: partial 16S ribosomal RNA
Rfam family: Bacterial small subunit ribosomal RNA
Source: RNAcentral